UUUCCGUAGGUGAACCUGCGGAAGGAUCAUUAAAAAUGAAGCCGGGAAACCGGUCCUUCUAACCCUUGAUUGUCUUAAUUUGUUGCUUUGGUGGGCCGCGCAAGCACCGGCUUCGGCUGGAUCGUGCCCGCCAGAGGACACAACUCUGUAUCAAAUGUCGUCUGAGUACUAUAAAAUAGUUAAAACUUUCAACAACGGAUCUCUUGGUUCUG
RNAcentral lists this unclassified non-coding RNA (212 nucleotides) under plant metagenome. RNAcentral describes it as "partial contains small subunit ribosomal RNA, internal transcribed spacer 1, and 5.8S ribosomal RNA". The record is from RNAcentral.